GCGGGGAUAGCUCAGUUGGGAGAGCGUCAGACUGAAGUAAAUUCAGUUCGUAUAUCUGAAGGUCGUGUGUUCGAUCCACACUCACCGCA
RNAcentral lists this transfer RNA (89 nucleotides) under Coniella lustricola. It matches the Rfam family "tRNA". From Rfam's summary of the family: Transfer RNA (tRNA) molecules are approximately 80 nucleotides in length. The record is from Rfam by way of RNAcentral. Lineage: Eukaryota; Fungi; Ascomycota; Sordariomycetes; Diaporthales; Schizoparmaceae.